UUUGAUUCUUUAAGGUAGUUUGUGUCACGGCUGUGGCAGUGCCCUCUCUCCCCUGUUAACCCUCCUCUCUGCCUUUGCCCCCUCCUUCCUGUGUGCUUGGUGAAGGUGUGGCUCAGGAGACACACCUGUGAGUGAUCUGAAUCAGCAGCACUACAAAUACCUGGUCCUCCUGCCACUUCAGUGCCGGAUUGUUCCUUCGCCACGGCGAUACUCCUGCUACCUGUUUUUCACCAGGCGUCUUGGAGCUGGCUUCCUGGAUAUUUUUGUUUUACUUCAGUUGUCUCCACAAUAAAUUGAUUGUACUCUUCAA
Notolabrus celidotus (New Zealand spotty) is the source of this 310-nucleotide long non-coding RNA. RefSeq lists it as uncharacterized. The transcript is spliced from 2 exons. The record is from RefSeq and is a predicted model, not a curated record. NCBI's taxonomy places the organism in Eukaryota, Metazoa, Chordata, Actinopteri, Labriformes, Labridae.